Long non-coding RNA from Eriocheir sinensis (Chinese mitten crab), 2093 nucleotides. RefSeq lists it as uncharacterized. The record is from RefSeq and is a predicted model, not a curated record. Lineage: Eukaryota; Metazoa; Arthropoda; Malacostraca; Decapoda; Varunidae. The transcript has 3 exons.
CGUCGAUAUUGAGGAGUAGAUGAAAGCACCUCGAUAUUUAGGAGUAGAUGAAAGCACCUUGAUAUUGAUGAGUAGAUGAAAGCACGUCAAUAUUGAGCUUACUCCCGACGCAGCGAAAUCACGGUCGAUUCUGUAUUUGAAGGAGUUGAUGGUACAAGGAACUCUCGGUUGACGCGUUUUUGAAAUACCGCGUGGUCCAAAAUCCAAAUAAAUGUUUAAUUUACGCGUUUUUUUCCACUUAAACGCGAUAUUUUCUGGAGUGUCCCCCAGAUGUCUCACGCAACUGGACUCACACGGCUACACAGUUCUUCCCACGCGCCACUCGAACAACAAUACAGUACCCACGCUGCCACGCUCCUCAACAACACCCUCGCUGAUGUGCUACCACGAGGGGAAGGGCAGCCAGAGGAGGAACCACGAGAGGGAGAGGAGUCAGAGUGAUACGGUAGGCAAUAGAGGUACAAAUUGACCUCUUGUUGGAUUUACGCUGUUUUGGAUUUAUGCAACAUUCAACUGUACCCAGACAACAGUACCCGGGCAGCACGGUUCUGAAUGUUCACUGUGCCAUCUUUUACAAUAUACUUUGAGAUGGUUUUGAAUGACCCAGGAUAGCACAAUACGGUUGACCCUCAAAUAGUAUAGUUUUGGUUUUAUACGGAUUGUUGUAGAAGAUGUUUUUAGGAGUUUUAAAUUUCCUGGUUAUCGGGAAAUUUUAAAAUCCUAAAACAAUAUACGAAAAACAAACUGGAACUGUACUAUUUAAGGGGUGACUGUAGAAGGAUAUAUUUUUCCACUUACUGAUGAAAACAUGGAACAGUUGGAAAGUUUGGUUCAAUCGGCGCAACAUCUGUGGUCAUGCGCCGGAGAGAGACAGAAGGGGAAGGAAUUAUAGGAGAAGGGAACAGUUGGAAAGUUUGGUUUAGUGGGCGCAACAUCUGUGGUCAUAUGCCGGAGAGAGACAGAAGGGGAAGGAAUUAUAGGAGAAGGGAACAGUUGGAAAGUUUGGUUCAGUCGGCGCAACAUCUGUGGUCAUACGCCGGAGAGAGACAGAAGGGGAAGGAAGUAUAGGAGAAGGGAACAGUUGGAAAGUUUGGUUCAGUCGGCGCAACAUCUGUGGUCAUAUGCCGGAGAGAGACAGAAGGGGAAGGAAUUAUAGGAGAAGGGAACAGUUGGAAAGUUUGGUUUAGUGGGCGCAACAUCUGUGGUCAUAUGCCGGAGAGAGACAGAAGGGGAAGGAAUUAUAGGAGAAGGGAACAGUUGGAAAGUUUGGUUUAGUGGGCGCAACAUCUGUGGUCAUAUGCCGGAGAGGGACAGAAGGGGAAGGAAUUAUAGGAGAAGGGAACAGACCCCAGGAGACGGGACACAACCCCCGAUUAAUACCUGGUACACUGCUGGGUGGACAGGGGCGUAGGGUAUCGGAAAACCCGCCCAAAUUUUUCCACUCCGCCCGGGAAUCGAACCCGGGCUCUCUCGGUUGUGAGCCGAGUGUGCUAACCACUGCACCACGAAGCCCCCUGUGUUUUAGAAGGGGCGUGAUGGAUAAGUACAUGUUUUAGAAGGGGUAUAGGGCUUAAAGUACCUAUUUCCUUAUCUGCACAGGGAAAGACAGGCUACAUAUUACAUCAUAUCAGGAGCAAAAAGAUACAUGUUACUCAGAAAUGGUGACCUUCAGUACACCAAACACAAGCUCACUCUUCCCUUGUAGCUUGUUCUUGUUCCUCCUGUGAUGUUAAGCCUGUCUUUCCCAGUGCCAACUUGAAAAUAAGGCUUUGUCCCAUAACCCAGUAGCAGCGACGGGCCAAAUUUGUGGCUUUACCGUGUAGCAGCGAGGGGCCAAAUUUGUGGCUUUACCGUGUAGCAGCGAGGGGCCAAAUUUGUGGCUUUACCGUGUAGCAGCUAUGGGCCAAAUUUGUGGCUUUACCGUGUAGCAGCGACGGGCCAAAUUUGUGGCUUUACCGUGUAGCAGCGACGGGCCAAAUUUGUUGCUUUACCGUGUAGCAGCGACGGGCCAAAUUUGUGGCUUUACCGUGUAGCAGCGAGGGGCCAAAUUUGUGGCUUUACCGUGUAGCAGUGAUGGGCCAAAUUUGUGGCUU